Molecule: long non-coding RNA, 1007 nt
Filed under: Equus caballus (horse)
Lineage: Eukaryota; Metazoa; Chordata; Mammalia; Perissodactyla; Equidae
Description: lncRNA (ENSECAG00000049040.1)
Source: RNAcentral
GUUGCCUAAGAGACCUUGCCUGCUCCGAGAUAAAAAUAUAGGAGCACAGCAGUAACAUGAUAAUAUCAAAACACAGGCCAAGGGAGGGCUCCUUGAGAAAUCACUAAGAAUUCUUGGCAUUCGCUAAUUGCUUCAUCCAGAACACCUGUGUAUGUUUAGCAGAUGUAAACUAUGUAUAUAUUGAAACGCUGGUUAUAAUAAACUCAGAGUGGCCAUCAGCCCUCUCCGCAUCUAUCCUGAUGUGUACAUUGGAUUGCAACACCGACACCCUUUGAGUAUAACACUAGUUAUUUCUACUCCCUCCUUGUCCCUUCUAGAGCAUGGCUUGACAUGCAGUAUGUAGGUCCGCAACCAGGAUCUGAACCCGGUGAAUCCUGAGCCGCUGAAGUGGAACGUGUGAACUUCACCUGCUGCACCACCGGGCCAGAGCCCCUGGAACCUUCUUGAUAGUUUCCUCUUAAACAAUCUCUCCUCAAUGAGAAUUGGUUAUCCUCCUAAUGUUAAUUUGCCCCUCACUCUGAUUCUUUCAUGUUACCCCGAUCCUCUUUUUAGUGGUGCAGUCAAAUGUACAGAUAAUGAAAAAGCCAGAAACACAUCACUUGGCUGCAGACUUAAAAAAAAAAAGUGCAUUCUUUUUCCAUGAACUCUUUUGCAUUAUUGUUGAUUUGUAUAGAACGGCUCUCAUAGCAUCAAUGCUUGAAACAUUGUCUAUUAUCCUUAUUCUUUCAUCACUGGAAAAUCUUUUCAAAUAUUACAUAUUUAUGCAAAAUAAAACAUUAAGGUUAACCAAAGGCAUAUAUAUAUCUAUUUGCUUUUCAACUUAAAAAACAAAUCUGCCAAUUAUUUUAUGCUCAAAACAAGUUUAUUUGGGAAUAGCUAAAAGAAUUGAAAUUUGGGAUGUGCAUGCUAUGGUGAGCUGUAGGCAAAUCCAGAGAACGAAGGACUGGGCUUGCUUUUAUAGAGCAAAAGGAUGAAUAGGGAGGGGCUGUUAUAGCCAAAAGUCGCUU